Molecule: ribosomal RNA, 484 nt
Filed under: uncultured bacterium
Lineage: Bacteria
Description: partial 16S ribosomal RNA
Rfam family: Bacterial small subunit ribosomal RNA
Source: RNAcentral
AUUGAACGCUGGCGGAAUGCUUUACACAUGCAAGUCGAACGGCAGCACGGGGGCAGCCCUGGUGGCGAGUGGCGAACGGGUGAGUAAUACAUCGGAACGUGCCCGGUCGUGUGGGAUAACGUAGCGAAAGUUACGCUAAUACCGCAUACGAUCUGAGGAUGAAAGCGGGGGACCUUCGGGCCUCGCGCGAUCGGAGCGGCCGAUGUCAGAUUAGGUAGUUGGUGGGGUAAAGGCCUACCAAGCCGACGAUCUGUAGCUGGUCUGAGAGGACGACCAGCCACACUGGGACUGAGACACGGCCCAGACUCCUACGGGAGGCAGCAGUGGGGAAUUUUGGACAAUGGGCGCAAGCCUGAUCCAGCCAUUCCGCGUGCAGGACGAAGGCCUUCGGGUUGUAAACUGCUUUUGUACGGAACGAAAAGGCUCUGGCUAAUACCUGGGGCUCAUGACGGUACCGUAAGAAUAAGCACCGGCUAACUACGUG